AACGCGAAGAACCUUACCUGGUCUUGACAUGUACGGAAUCCUCCAGAGACGGAGGAGUGCCUUCGGGAGCCGUAACACAGGUGCUGCAUGGCUGUCGUCAGCUCGUGUCGUGAGAUGUUGGGUUAAGUCCCGCAACGAGCGCAACCCUUGUCAUUAGUUGCCAUCAUUUAGUUGGGCACUCUAACGAGACUGCCGGUGACAAGCCGGAGGAAGGUGGGGAUGACGUCAAGUCCUCAUGGCCCUUAUGACCAGGGCUUCACACGUCAUACAAUGGUCGGUACAGAGGGUAGCCAAGCCGCGAGGUGGAGCCAAUCUCACAAAACCGAUGUAGUCCGGAUUGCACUCUGCAACUCGAGUGCAUGAAGUCGGAAUCGCUAGUAAUCGCAGUCAGCAUGC
This 396-nucleotide ribosomal RNA is filed under the name uncultured Neisseria sp. RNAcentral describes it as "bacterial SSU rRNA". It matches the Rfam family "Bacterial small subunit ribosomal RNA", at positions 958 to 1357 of the family's 1533-position model. The record is from RNAcentral. Lineage: Bacteria; Pseudomonadati; Pseudomonadota; Betaproteobacteria; Neisseriales; Neisseriaceae.